RNAcentral lists this ribosomal RNA (440 nucleotides) under uncultured bacterium. RNAcentral's name for it is "partial 16S ribosomal RNA". It matches the Rfam family "Bacterial small subunit ribosomal RNA", at positions 338 to 795 of the family's 1533-position model. The record is from RNAcentral.
CCUACGGGUGGCAGCAGUAGGGAAUCUUGCUCAAUGGGGGAAACCCUGAACCAGCAACGCCGCGUGGAGGAUGAAGGUUUUCGGAUUGUAAACUCCUUUUGUAAGAGAAGAUAAAGACGGUAUCUAACGAAUAAGCACCGUCUAAAUCCGUGCCAGCACCCGCGGUACUACGGAGGGUGCAAGCGGUACUCGGAAUCGCUGGGCGUAAAGAGCGGGUAGGCGGGAUAGCAGGGCAGGGGGGAAAUGCUAUGGCCUAACCAUAGAACCGCAUUGGAAACUGUUAUUCUAGAGUAUGGAAGAGGUAGGUGGAAUUCUUGGUGUAGGGGUGAAAUCCGUAGAGAUCAAGAGGAAUACUCAUUGCGAAGGCGACCUGCUGGACCGUAACUGACGCUGAUGCGCGAAAGCGUGGGGAGCAAACAGGAUUAGAUACCCUAGUAGUC